AUUGAACGCUGGCGGCAUGCCUUACACAUGCAAGUCGAACGGUAACAGGUCUUCGGAUGCUGACGAGUGGCGAACGGGUGAGUAAUACAUCGGAACGUGCCCGAUCGUGGGGGAUAACGAAGCGAAAGCUUUGCUAAUACCGCAUAAGAUCUACGGAUGAAAGCAGGGGACCGCAAGGCCUUGCGCGAACGGAGCGGCCGAUGGCAGAUUAGGUAGUUGGUGGGAUAAAAGCUUACCAAGCCGACGAUCUGUAGCUGGUCUGAGAGGACGACCAGCCACACUGGGACUGAGACACGGCCCAGACUCCUACGGGAGGCAGCAGUGGGGAAUUUUGGACAAUGGGCGAAAGCCUGAUCCAGCCAUGCCGCGUGCAGGAUGAAGGCCUUCGUGUUGUAAACUGCUUUUGUACGGAACGAAAAGACUCUGGUUAAUACCUGGGGUCCAUGACGGUACCGUAAGAAUAAGCACCGGCUAACUACGUG
RNAcentral lists this ribosomal RNA (482 nucleotides) under uncultured bacterium. RNAcentral describes it as "partial 16S ribosomal RNA". It matches the Rfam family "Bacterial small subunit ribosomal RNA", at positions 30 to 507 of the family's 1533-position model. The record is from RNAcentral.